Molecule: ribosomal RNA, 430 nt
Filed under: uncultured beta proteobacterium
Lineage: Bacteria; Pseudomonadati; Pseudomonadota; Betaproteobacteria
Description: bacterial SSU rRNA
Rfam family: Bacterial small subunit ribosomal RNA
Source: RNAcentral
AGAGAUGGAUUUGUGCUCGAAAGAGAACCGUAACACAGGUGCUGCAUGGCUGUCGUCAGCUCGUGUCGUGAGAUGUUGGGUUAAGUCCCCGCAACGAGCGCAACCCUUGUCAUUAGUUGCUACAUUUAGUUGGGCACUCUAAUGAGACUGCCGGUGACAAACCGGAGGAAGGUGGGGAUGACGUCAAGUCCUCAUGGCCCUUAUAGGUGGGGCUACACACGUCAUACAAUGGCUGGUACAAAGGGUUGCCAACCCGCGAGGGGGAGCUAAUCCCAUAAAACCAGUCGUAGUCCGGAUCGCAGUCUGCAACUCGACUGCGUGAAGUCGGAAUCGCUAGUAAUCGUGGAUCAGAAUGUCACGGUGAAUACGUUCCCGGGUCUUGUACACACCGCCCGUCACACCAUGGGAGCGGGUUCUGCCAGAAGUAGUU